Molecule: long non-coding RNA, 515 nt
Organism: Oncorhynchus tshawytscha (Chinook salmon)
Lineage: Eukaryota; Metazoa; Chordata; Actinopteri; Salmoniformes; Salmonidae
Source: Ensembl
GGUGGGGAAUGGGAUCUGGGACUGUGUGGUGGGGAAUGGGUUCACGGUCUGUGUGGUGGGGAAUGGGAUCAGGGUCUGUGUGGUGGGGAAUGGGUUCACGGUCUAUGUGGGGGAAUGGGAUCUGGGUCUGUGUGGGGGGGAAUGGGAUCUGGGUCUGUGUGGUGGGGAAUGGGUUCACGGUCUGUGUGGUGGGGAAUGGGAUCUGGGUCUGUGUGGUGGGGAAUGGGUUCACGGUCUGUGUGGUGGGGAAUGGGUUCACAGUCUGUGUGGGGGGGGAAUGGGAUCUGGGUCUGUGUGGGGGGAAUGGGAUCUGGGUCUGUGUGGGGGAAUGGGAUCUGGGUCUGUGUGGUGGGGAAUGGGUUCACGGUCUGUGUGGUGGGGAAUGGGUUCACGGUCUGUGUGUGGGGGGAAUGGGAUCUGGGUCUGUGUGGGGGGAAUGGGAUCAGGGUCUGUGUGGUGGGGAAUGGGUUCAAGGUCUGUGUGGUGGGGAAUGGGUUCACGGUCUGUGUGGGGGG